CGGCGAGAAAUCGAAGGUCCCCCAAGGACCCACGUCCAGGAGCCAACAGCCUCUCUGUGCAAACCAGACAACCCUGCAGGAACUGUGCUUGAAGAAACCGUGGAAACUGCCCCCAACCCUCCCGUCUCUAUUUCUUUCUCUGUUUUAUUAUCUCAUUCUUGGCUGUGAGGUAAACAGGAGAAAAUGAGAAGGUGGUUCUGGAGGACCCGACCGAAUUUGCUUUCGUGACAGGGUCAAGCGCCCUUUCCUCGCCGGCCGCAGCCCUCACCAAAGGGGAUUUGGGGGCCUCCGGACAGGGGUCCUGAAGGUUUUGAAUUGUUCAAUCUCUGGGGGUACAGGAACCCCUGCAGGAGGUUUCAAAGGCAAGAGUUUCGCAGAGAGAAAAAAACCAUGAACUUUGCAGGUUGGUGGCGGAAUCUGGUGAUUUAAGAAAACGUGUUUAAGCCUCGGCCGGGCCGCGCCUGGGCUGUCUGCGGUGCUCUUCCGGAAUUCUCUACAAUAUCUGGAAGUGACCAAGAAAAUUCCAGAACCCGGAGGCUGCGCCGUGGAGAUAAACAUGGGCACCUGGGAAGGAACUGCUGGACCAGCAGAAUGAGGGGCCAACGCCAGGGGCAGCACUGCCCGGCCACAGAGGACUGUGGCCCCACAGAUGACACCCUCAGCUACCAGCUCCUGCAUCUGGAAGAUGACCAGGAGGAGGAAGGACGGUCUGCAAGUGUUCAAAGUGAUGUUUCCAGGCCGGGCGCGCUUGUAAUACCAGCAUUUGGGAGGCUGAGGCAGGCGGAUCACCUGAGGUCGGGAGUUCGAGACCAGCCUGACCAACGUGGAGAAACCCCGUCUCUACUAAAAAUACAAAAUUAGCCAGGCGUGGUGGCGCAGCUACUCGGGAGGCUGAGGCAGGAGAAUCGCUUGAACCCGGGAGGCGGAGGUUGCGGUGAGCUGAGAUUGUGCCAUUGCACUCCAGCCUGGGCAACAAGAGUGAAACUCCGUCUGAAAAAAAAAAAACCUCUAUAACAUCCAAAA
This 1023-nucleotide long non-coding RNA is filed under the name Homo sapiens (human). Its description in RNAcentral is "HSALNT0395536". Lineage: Eukaryota; Metazoa; Chordata; Mammalia; Primates; Hominidae. The record is from RNAcentral.